GCUCCUGAGCAUGCUGAUGGGGAGGCACCUCUCCCCCCUGCCGUCCCUCACAUUCUUUACACCCUUCUCUGAAGUUCUCUGAGCCUUGGAAGGCAGAGGCGAAGGUAGAUGACUGGGCCGCAGCUGAGUGCUCACGUGUUUGCUCUCAGCGAGUGACGACGAGUCUCUGCCACAGUCACCGCACACCCGCACCACACACCCACACCAUACACCCCACACCCACACCCCACACUGCACACCCUACUCCUACACCCCACACCCUACACCCACACCCCACACACUCCUAAGCUGUACGGCAAGGGCUACAAAAGUCCUUGUUUCAAAACAGAAAUUCCUCGGAGUUGUCUUCUGGCCCAGCCCGUCCUGACUGCAACGCUAGCGCUGAGACCAUCCUGCCCUCGUGGCGCACGCCUGCUGACUGCAUGCUGACUAGAUCCAGCUGGACGGCAAGGCUGUUCACAGUCCCCACGCUUUCAUUGGUGCACACAGUGAGACCACUGCAAACCCACACACGUGCAUAUGUGCUUCAUCUGUAUCACCUGUCAUCAGAGGCCGUCCUGUCUGCUGUGCCGAGUCCAGGAUGUUUUGCUGCAAAUGUUAGCAGUUUCCAUGCCUGGAGAUCUCCUUUGGUUCUCACUGUAUGCACCUUUUCAGUCCUGGUGCUCACGCUUUCCUUUAAAAUUCUGAGUGUCGUCUGUGCUUUCUACAAGCAUCCAUCUUUUUGUUGGUGCUUCGGUUUCUAUUUCUUGGUUUAUUUCCGAUUUUCCGGCUUUUUAGAGUGUACUGGUAACUAGAUAAAUCCAUUACUGGACACUGUAAAUGCCAUGCUGCUGAGUCCAUCGUGUCUCUGGCCUCACCUUCACUCUGCUACGCUACUGUUUCAUGGUCAAGGUUGCUCGCAGAGAGCAGCCCAUCCUUUUAGGCUUGGCCAGCACACAUCUGGGAUAGUUUUACUCUAAGGAUGAUUCAUUCCCAUGACUGUACUGCAACCACAGUGGACUCGGCUCUGCCACUCGUGGCCAUCACCACUGCUCACACCUUCAUUGGAUUCUGAACGUUUUGCACAGCUGUGUGGAUUGGGGAGGUUUUGCAGCCUGUGGCUCCUUGCCAGUGCCAUGAUGUGACAUGAGCGAGUGGUUACCCCAACUCCAAGGGACCAUUUUGCUGACUUCUGGAGCUGUUUGUUUUCAUGUAGCUUCUCACCCUCUGGAAUCUCUCCUGAAACUUCCAUCGGCUACAGCAUUCUUGACUUCAAAGAUCAGUUUGCUCAGCUCAGCGAAGACAUGGAACUUGAGAGGGGUUUCCCUGCCUGGUCCCUGGUCCUGGAACGGUCCACGGACAUCAGGAACUUUGCGUCUUGGCUUUCCUGUGUCCUCCUUGGAGAUGACAUCUUCGAGCUAUGUGACAUGCAAGGUUUGGCAGCUGCACUGUUCCCUAGCUGCUCCUGGUGUGGGGUUAGCUUAGGGCACCUCUCCCUCCUUCCACAGAAAUAAGCAAAAGCCCAGGUGAGAGCGUUCAAUAACGCCAGCUCAGCGUGCCUUGGAAACUCGUGGCUAGCUGAAAUGCAGGGAAAAGCAGCUUCAGAAAACAUGAUUAAUUACUCCAGAAAGCCCUUGAUGAGCACUUACACCCAUAUGGCCCACCUUACGGCAGUGGCGGGCACUCAUCCUGACCAUAAGUUCAGCUUUCCUUCCUGUUUGAAGGUCUUCUAAAACAACAUCUUGAUACACGUCUGUCUACUGCCAGUCGGGGCUGCUGCACCUGCAAAUGGUCCAGCCAGAGCAUGCCUCUGCUCCUCUAAUGUGUGUACUGUGGAAACGUGUGCCAUGCGGUCCCUCACUAAAUCAAAACAGGAGGACCCCAGCCAGGGAGGUGCAGACUUGGGAUCAAAGAGAUCUGUCCUGCUAUAGAGUAUAAGUGUGUCCUCACCCCUCGUCAACUGCAGAAAACCGCCUCCAAUCAAAAUGCGCAUUUGUGGAGCCCAGUCCCAGUGGACACAUCUACAACUCACCCCCGUGACUAAGGCUCGGGAACACUGCCGAAGAAGGGGCAGAAAUACUGUGAGAGCCAGGGAUCGCAGUAUUUGCUGAGGGAUGGUGUCUGAAGCAGCACCCGGACAGCCCAAACAGGAGCUGAAAAGGGACAACAAGGACAACAUCAGGGGAAUGCCAGAGUGCCCAGGGGAAGGCUCCAAGUCCCAUCCCACACAAGCAAAUGAGGAAAGCUGGAGGCAGGAGAGAUAGUCCUCCCCAGGAAAGAGCAUAUGAAUUGGUUAUCCAGUGACCAUCAGCCAGCCCUGAAAAUGCACAUGUAAGUAACGUAUGUACUGAGCAGACUCUAUUUAGGAAUAUAUAUGCAUGCACAUAUCUGUACAUGCAUGCAAUUAACAAAUAGUUUAGAGAGAGGCCACAAA
This is a long non-coding RNA of Meriones unguiculatus (Mongolian gerbil), 2413 nucleotides long. RefSeq lists it as uncharacterized. The record is from RefSeq and is a predicted model, not a curated record. Lineage: Eukaryota; Metazoa; Chordata; Mammalia; Rodentia; Muridae. The transcript is spliced from 3 exons.